AUAGCGUAUAUUAAAGUUGUUGCAGUUAAAAAGCUCGUAGUUGAACUUCGAACGUGGCUGGGCGGUCCGCCUCACGGUGUGUACUGUCUGGCUGUGUUCUCUUUCUUGGUGAGCCGGCAUGCCCUUAAUUGGGUGUGUUGGGGAACCAGGACGUUUACCUUGAGAAAAUUAGAGUGUUCAAAGCAGGCCUUUGCCCGAAUACAUUAGCAUGGCAUAAUAAAAUAGGACGUGCGGUUCUAUUUUGUUGGUUUCUAGAGUCGCCGUAAUGAUUAAUAGGGAUAGUUGGGGGCAUUAGUAUUCCGUUGCUAGAGGUGAAAUUCUUGGAUUUACGGAAGACUAACUUCUG
RNAcentral lists this ribosomal RNA (346 nucleotides) under Sebacina incrustans. RNAcentral's name for it is "SSU rRNA". It matches the Rfam family "Eukaryotic small subunit ribosomal RNA", at positions 594 to 945 of the family's 1831-position model. The record is from RNAcentral. Lineage: Eukaryota; Fungi; Basidiomycota; Agaricomycetes; Sebacinales; Sebacinaceae. RNAcentral also lists the same sequence under 1 other name.